Molecule: non-coding RNA, 21 nt
Filed under: Arabidopsis thaliana (thale cress)
Lineage: Eukaryota; Viridiplantae; Streptophyta; Magnoliopsida; Brassicales; Brassicaceae
Source: RNAcentral
UUUGUGGUAAUUUCUUAGUGU